GUCUGGAGAGGAGCCAGCCAACAAUGACAGUGCGGGUCCUUAGCACAGCUGCUCACUGAUGUCUCGUGCCUGCAUUCUGGGGGAUAGCAGCAAGGAGCUUUGGAAAUUGCAAAGAUCCAGUCGGCCCUGACACGGGUGUUCGCAGUUUAACAGCUCCCACCGCUACACACUUCAGGAAAGGUCGGGACAGAGUCGUGAGGGAGAAACGGUUCCCAUUUACAAAAGGCUGGGGACCAGAGGGCACUGCUUGGAAGUGCCUUGCCAUAGAAGUACAUUGCAGGGUGAACAGAGCUGAACACAGUGCUCCAGAAAAAGCCUCACCAACAUCCUGUGCAACCUCAAGAUGACAUCCCAACUCCUAUACUCAGUGGUCUGAGCAAUGAUUGGAAAGUGUGCCAAUGUCGUCUUAAUCACCCCUUUGACAUGUGCUGCAAGCUUCAAAGAAUUACGGACCUGAAUCCCAAAGUCUGUCUGUUCUACAGCACUGCCCAAGGCCCAACUUCUAAUUGUAUAAGCCAUACCUCUUGUUUGUUUUACUAAAAUGCAAUACCUCUUGUUUAUCCAAGUUAAACUCUAGCUGCCACUCUUCAGCCCUCACAAACAAAGACCCCACCCUACUAUGACGCUGUCUGAGAUCUGCUGCCUCACCUCUCCUCCUAUUCAUCUUUGCUAGUGUAUGGAUCAAGUAUACGGUUAAAGUUGGCUUCUAAUCUAUUGAGCCAGAGCUCCAGCUGCCCCUGGAAAGUGGGUAGAUUUGGAUGUCAAGUUGAGGGAAGGACAAACCUUACCUGUGCUGUCCUUACUGUUAUAGACACAUGUGCGUUGGACUGCCCUUCUGUGGAUUUACAUCCUGCACGAUGAAAUCAGGUCAAAGGGCUGGAUGGUGGACAAAAAAUAGAUGUUGAAAGUGCCCACAUGAGUUCUUCACUCCUCCCGAAUCAAAUCUCUGUUGGGCACUUAACCAGCAAGGUCACAGUGUCAGUUAAACUGACCUUCGGGGACCACUGUGGGAGGUCACGCCUGACAACACUGUUAGCAUUCUUUUGGGAGGAAACAGGCAAGUUAGACAAAGGAAAGACAGUUGACAUGAUAUGUUUAGAUUUCUAGAAGGUCUUUGACCAGGAGCAUCACAGGAGGCUGCUAUAUAAAAUAACAGCACAUGGUCGUAACAGUACUGGCAUGGAUAGACAGUUGUCUGACCGGCAGAAGGCAGAGAGUCGGGAUAAAGGGGCCUUUUCCAGGAUGGCAGCUGGUGACUGGUGGGAUUCCACUGUGGUCCAUGUUGGGAGCACAACUACUCCCGUUGUACAUUAACGGUCUGGAUGAAGGAACUGAGGCUGUCGUUGCUACAUUUUCUGAUGAGACAAAGUUAGGUGGAGGGACAGGUAGUGAGGAAGUGGGGAGGCUGCAGAAGGAUUUGGACAGGCCGGGAGAGCAGGCAAAGAAGUGGCAGAUGGAAUACAAUGUGGGAAUGUGUGAGGUCAUGCACUUUGGCAGGAUGAAUGGUGACAUAGACUAAUUCCUUCAUGGGGAAAGGUGCCAGAAAUCUGAAGCACAAAGGGACUUAGGAGUCCUAGUUCAGGAUUCUUUUAAGAUUAACAUGUAGGUUCAGGUGGUGGUUAGGAAGGCAAAUGAAAAGUUAGUGUUCAUUUCAAGAGGGCCAGAGUACAAGAGAAGGGGUGUACUAAAAACUGAAAGCACUGCAGAUGCUGUAAAUCAGGAACAAAAACAAAGUUUCUGGAAAAGCUCAGCAGGUUUGGCAGCAUCUGUGAAGGAGAAAACAGUUUACAGUUUGGGACCAGUGAUCCUUCCUUUGUGCUGAGCAGGGAUGUUCUGCUGAAACUGUGUAAGGCUGUGGUCUGACUGCAUUUGGAAUAUGGUGAGCAGUUUUGGGCCCCAUAUCUGAGGGGGGUGGAGUUGUCGGGGGUGGGGGCGUUUCCAGAGGAGGUUUACAAGAAUAAUCCCGGGGAUAAAGGGCUUGUCAUUUGAGGAGCAGUUGAGGAGUUUGGAUCUGUACUCAAUGGAGUUUAGAAACUUACAGAAUUGUGUGAUUCUGUCCAGUGACUGGGGUAGCAUGGGCGCUCAGUGGUUAACACUGCUGCCUCCGAUCUCCAGGGACCCAGGUUCAAUUCCAGCCUCCGGUGACUAUCUGUCUGCAUGGAGUUUGUAUGUUCUCCCUGUGUCUGUGGGGUUCCUCCCACAGUUCAAAGAUGUGUAGGUUAGGUGGAUUAACGAGGGGGAAAUGCAGAAUCACAGGGAGUGAGCAGGGAAAAUGAGUCUGGGUGGGAUCCUGGUUUGUGCCAACUUGUUGGGCUGAAUGGCCUGUUCCAACACUAUGGGGAUUCUCUCUCUUAUAUAUUUACAAAGGAAUACUGAGAGGCCCGGAUAGAGUGGACACAGAGAAGAUGUUUCCACUAGUAGGAGUGACUAGGGCCUGAGGGCACAACCUCAGAGUGAAGGGAUAAUCCUCCAGAACUGAGAUGGGGAGGAAUUUCUUCAGCCAGACGGUGGUAAAUCUGUGGAUCUCAUUGCUUCAGAAAGCUGUGGAGGCCAAGUCAUUGAGUGUAUUUAAGACAGAGAUAGAUAGGUUCCUGGUUAGUCAGCGGAUCAAGGGUUAUGGGGAGAAGGCAGGAGAAUGGGGUUGAGAAACAUAGCCAUGAUUGAAUGGUGCAGGGGCCGAGUGGCCUAAUUCCACUCCUAUGCCUUAUGGCCUUGUUUGACCAUUAGGGGUCAGUAGCAUAGUGGUAAGCCAGACGGCCUAGCCUGUUCAAGCCCCACGGUGGAAGCUGGGCACAUUUAAAUUCAGUUUAAUAAAGAAAAUCCCCUUGUUAGCAGUAACCAUGCAGUUACAGAUGAUCAUUAAAGACCCCCCUGAUUCACAGAUCCCCUAUAGGUGAGGGGACCGGCUUUCCUUUCAUGCCUACACGUGAUCCCAUCUGUCAGGAAUGGUCAAGGAAUUUUGACCAGGUGGGCAAGUGGUGCUGAGUGUUGGUAAAUGCAAUUCAAUACAGAUGUGUGUGAGGUGUUGCACUUUGGAAGUUCAAACCAAGGUAUUGUGUCAAAUCGCUGUAGCAAAUUUGCUAAGCCCCUGGAGUCGCUUAUCCCCAUGGACUGACCUUGGUGCCCAGUUAAUACCUGCCUUGCCAGAUGUAAAUCAGCCCAUCUCUGUUCCGGAAUUUUCUUUAGACUGCUGCCCACACCCCUGUCCCUACUAAAACCAUUUGAUUUUGGUUUGAAGGAACGAGGGUUUGCCACUCCCCUUGGCAUGAAGAGCUGCUCGUGGAUAUCACUGGUGAUGAUUUUAAUUUGGAAGGCUGUGCUUGUUGUAGAACCCCAAGCAACUGGAGGAACUGAUUUGCCUUCAUCUGUUCUGCGGAAUCCUUUAACCAUUUGUCAGGCCCUUGAGCAGACCACUUUUUAAUCUUCAAUAAUCAAGGGAGUAUGAUUAUUAAGUUACCAUAGCCAUACCUGAUUAUGGGGCUGCUCUCUCUUUAGAGAGAGGUGGUGGUUUAACCUGAGGGUCACCAAGCCUCAGGUGAGGGGAGAGGUUGAGGAGGAGAGUCCUUACAGUAACCUCAGUCACUGUGGGGACUGAGCCCACAUUGUUGGUGAGUGGAAAACUAGUUGAUGUAACAUGCCCACAUAAACUUAAACCCUUUUAGACCCAGUGCUGCUCUGAUGAAUCUGUGCUCACAACUCUAAAGGCUGCAUUUUCAUCUUCGAUAUAUGGUGCCAUGCAAUGUUUCG
This is a long non-coding RNA of Stegostoma tigrinum, 3747 nucleotides long. RefSeq lists it as uncharacterized. The transcript is spliced from 3 exons. Lineage: Eukaryota; Metazoa; Chordata; Chondrichthyes; Orectolobiformes; Stegostomatidae. The record is from RefSeq and is a predicted model, not a curated record.